Molecule: ribosomal RNA, 751 nt
Filed under: Bacillus cereus
Lineage: Bacteria; Bacillati; Bacillota; Bacilli; Caryophanales; Bacillaceae
Description: bacterial SSU rRNA
Rfam family: Bacterial small subunit ribosomal RNA
Source: RNAcentral
CUAUACAUGCAGUCGAGCGAAUGGAUUAAGAGCUUGCUCUUAUGAAGUUAGCGGCGGACGGGUGAGUAACACGUGGGUAACCUGCCCAUAAGACUGGGAUAACUCCGGGAAACCGGGGCUAAUACCGGAUAACAUUUUGAACCGCAUGGUUCGAAAUUGAAAGGCGGCUUCGGCUGUCACUUAUGGAUGGACCCGCGUCGCAUUAGCUAGUUGGUGAGGUAACGGCUCACCAAGGCAACGAUGCGUAGCCGACCUGAGAGGGUGAUCGGCCACACUGGGACUGAGACACGGCCCAGACUCCUACGGGAGGCAGCAGUAGGGAAUCUUCCGCAAUGGACGAAAGUCUGACGGAGCAACGCCGCGUGAGUGAUGAAGGCUUUCGGGUCGUAAAACUCUGUUGUUAGGGAAGAACAAGUGCUAGUUGAAUAAGCUGGCACCUUGACGGUACCUAACCAGAAAGCCACGGCUAACUACGUGCCAGCAGCCGCGGUAAUACGUAGGUGGCAAGCGUUAUCCGGAAUUAUUGGGCGUAAAGCGCGCGCAGGUGGUUUCUUAAGUCUGAUGUGAAAGCCCACGGCUCAACCGUGGAGGGUCAUUGGAAACUGGGAGACUUGAGUGCAGAAGAGGAAAGUGGAAUUCCAUGUGUAGCGGUGAAAUGCGUAGAGAUAUGGAGGAACACCAGUGGCGAAGGCGACUUUCUGGUCUGUAACUGACACUGAGGCGCGAAAGCGUGGGGAGCAAACAGGAUUAG